This 406-nucleotide ribosomal RNA is filed under the name uncultured bacterium. RNAcentral's name for it is "partial 16S ribosomal RNA". It matches the Rfam family "Bacterial small subunit ribosomal RNA", at positions 30 to 526 of the family's 1533-position model. The record is from RNAcentral.
AUUGAACGCUGGCGGCAGGCCUAACACAUGCAAGUCGAACGAGUGGCGGACGGGUGAGUAAUGUCUGGGAAACUGCCUGAUGGAGGGGGAUCACUACUGGAAACGGUAGCUAAUACCGCAUACCAUCGGAUGUGCCCAGAUGGGAUUAGCUAGUAGGUGGGGUAACGGCUAACCUAGGCGACGAUCCCUAGCUGGUCUGAGGGGAUGACCAGCCACACUGGAACGGAGACACGGUCCAGACUCCUACGGAAGGCAGCAGUGGGGAAUAUUGCACAAGGGGCGCAAGCCUGAUACAGCCAUGCCGCGUGUAUGAAGAAGGCCUUCGGGUUUUAAAGUACUUUCAGCGGGGAGGCGUUACCCGCAGAAGAAGCACCGGCUAACUCCGUGCCAGCAGCCGCGGUAAUAC